This 839-nucleotide ribosomal RNA is filed under the name uncultured Bacillota bacterium. RNAcentral describes it as "bacterial SSU rRNA". It matches the Rfam family "Bacterial small subunit ribosomal RNA", at positions 65 to 879 of the family's 1533-position model. The record is from RNAcentral. Lineage: Bacteria; Bacillati; Bacillota.
AACGCGAAAGUUUCCUUUCGGGGGGCGAGUAGAGUGGCGCACGGGUGAGUAACACGUAGGUAAUCUACCUUUGGAUUGGGAAUAACAACCGGAAACGGUUGCUAAUACCGAAUAAUGCAGCGGCACCCAAUGGUGACAGUUGUUAAAGCGGGGGAUCGCAAGACCUCGCGUCUGAAGAGGAGCCUGCGGCAGAUUAGCUAGUUGGUAAGGUAACGGCUUACCAAGGCGAUGAUCUGUAGCCGGCCUGAGAGGGCGGUCGGCCACACUGACACUGACAUACGGGUCAGACUCCUACGGGAGGCAGCAGUCGGGAAUUUUGGGCAAUGGGCGAAAGCCUGACCCAGCAACGCCGCGUGAAGGAUGAAAUCCUUCGGGAUGUAAACUUCGCAAGAACGGGAAGAAUAAGUAAGAGCUAACAUCUCUUAUGAUGACGGUACUGUUUGUAAGCUCCGGCUAACUCCGUGCCAGCAGCCGCGGUAAUACGGGGGGAGCAAGCGUUGUUCGGAUUUACUGGGCGUAAAGGGCGCGUAGGCGGCCACCGCAAGUCGACUGUGAAAUCUCCGGGCUUAACCCGGAACGGUCAGCCGAUACUGCGGGGCUAGAGUGCAGAAGGGGCAACUGGAAUUCUCGGUGUAGCGGUGAAAUGCGUAGAUAUCGAGAGGAACACCUGCGGCGAAGGCGGGUUGCUGGGCUGACACUGACGCUGAUGUGCGAAAGCUAGGGGAGCGAACGGGAUUAGAUACCCCGGUAGUCCUAGCCUUAAACGAUGAAUGCUUGGUGUCUGGGGUUUUAUAGUCCCCGGGUGCCGUCGCUAACGCUUUAAGCAUUCCGCCUGGGGA